GUAGAGCUGCUUGCCCCCCCUCACUCCCACCAUGGAAUUCUUCUGGCUGCAGAAAUGCACCAAAAAUCUGGUAGGAACAAGAGCAGGGCAGCCCCUUGCUCCAGACUCGGCUGCUGCCUGCUCUGUGGAUGUGAUGCUGUCUCCUGGCCAGGCUGAUCCUCCAAGCAGCAUCACAUCCACACUUGAUCUUUUUGAAGACUCUGGAAGCAGCCUCCCCUUUUUCAUAAGAGAAGGAAUCAGUCUGUCUGGCCUCCCCCUGGCUCCCUGGUGGUUCCUCCCAGCCUGGGUGCCCUGCCAAGCCCUGCUGGUCUGGGUUUAAUAAGCAGCAGCUCUGCUCCAGGGAUGGAAAUUAGAGGUGGAUGCUGCAGCAGAGCAAAGUGCAGGGACGUGGUGGCAAGAGCUUCUGGAUCCCUCCUCGUCCAUGUUUCUGCCAUGGCACAGCUGAGGCCUGGCCUAGAAAAUGCACUGUGCACAGCUGGAUUUGCUUCUGGAGCAGGGUGUACCUCCUGCAUGGCCUCCUUGUUUUUCCACCUAACUCCACAUGGGAUUGGAAAAUACCAGUGGAAUAUGAAAUAUGAACCAGGACCUGCAGGAUGACCCCACGUCAGCGGGCUGGCAGCCAGAGCCCAGUGGGACAGCCCAGUUCCCAGCAGACACUAAUUCCCUGUGUCUCUGCAGCUGGGCUUUGCCCUGGGUGUUUGUAAAAUAACACUUUUCCAGGAGCACUCCUGGGGUUCACGCCUUAGAUCUCUGUUCUGCUGUUCCCCUGUCCUGACAGCUCUGCUCUGUGAGGUGCCCCAGAUGCUGGCAGGAGGAGUGCAAGUCAGGCAGUCAGCAGAAGCCAAAAGUUCAAUGAGUUCAUCUUUGGGUCCACCGACAGUGGAGGUGUUGUUAGAGAAGUAGAUUGGUAAGGAGCUUGGAGUUCAAUCAGCUGAUGAAGGGUUUAAGAAGGGAACCUCUUUUUUUCCUACUUCCCAUGUUGCCCACUGGCCUCAUUGUGGCAUCCUUCCUUCUGCCCUCGUGGCCAUAACUGUGCUCCCAUUCAGGUGGAACCCCAUCUGAAACUGGUGGGACAUUGCUCUGUGCCAUCUGAAGGCAUGAAUAACAAAUGUGGUUUGUGAAUGGGGCAAGGUUAAAUGUCCAUGUGCUUCAUCCGUUCCUCCAUCCCUCACUGGAGAUGUUUGAAGCAGAAUUUAAACCUGUUCUCUGGGAGGAUUUACUUAAACAGCUUCAUCUCCACAGAGGGAGGGUUGUGAAGCCACACCACCCCUGUAGCUCAGCCAGGAUGAAGGAGUGUUAAAACCAUCUGAUUUCAGACCCCAGAUGCGUCUGCUGUGGAUAAGGCUUGACACCAAAGAGAUCUCCUGACCAGUAGCUUCAUGCAAGCAGCUCCUGCUCUCCGUGGCACUCAAGAGUCAUUAAAUCAGUGUCCCUGAUUAUUUUCUCUGUGUGUGUGUGUGUCUUGUUUGCACAUGGAAAAUAUUUUGCGUUCUCCUGUCAAUUCUUUCCCAGAACUUUGCAUUGUUUCAGCUGAGAAUGAUUCCUGGGAGGAGGAAAGCAGGAACAGGUGAGUGACUGGCCAAGGAUGUGCUGGACAGGCUCAGACCCCAUUUAGGAUGGCUUGAGGUACCACGGAUGUGCAUCUUAGCCUGUGCCAGAAGUUAACAUUCCUUCUGCCACGAUGACAGGGAGAGGGAUGCAGCCAUGUCCUGCCUGCUGCUGGUCUCCAUCCAGCACAUACCACGGUCCCCCCAAACAGCCCAAAAAAAUUUUGGGCUGUUUGGGGUUUUUCAUGCACUGGUGGCCUGCAGGGCUGUGGACCAGCUCUCUGUAGCCUCAGCAUCAGCCGAAGGUUAUUCAGAAAGGGCAGCUGGUGGACUGAGUGUGGCUGGAUCUGUCCAGAUGUGAGCUGUGAUGCUGCAGUGGAAAACUGUAUCCCCAUGCCAGGGCAGGCUUGUAACAGGAAAAGCCAGCCUGGGGGCAAAGCAGGAACACAAGCUAAUUUGGGAACACAAUGGUUAUGCUAAUCAAAACACCUUCCAGAGGAGAAGGGAAGGAAAUUACCUAAUCCUUCACUGUGCAGAGUGGUGUCCCUGUGCCCAGGCUGAAGGACCAGGGCUGUGCACAGCUUGGAAGAAAGGGCAUUUCCAUCUGGGCAAGGGAAAAACCCCUGGGACCUAUUCCCUCCAGACCCUCUCCAUCCACAUUGGAUGGAGGAGAGUCCUCCUCUUCCCAUCCCCAAACUGGCUUUAGGUCCCGAAAAAUUCAGGCUUCUCUUGAAAGUUUGGCUGGACACAAACUUACGUGACUCAGGAGCUUAGCAAGAAACUUCAUCAGAAUUUGGCAAAUCAGCUGAGAAGGGUUGAAGCAGUUCAGGGAAGUGCAGCCUGCCUUGCUCCACUGCCAGCAGACUGGGAUGGGGCAAUCACUGGCUCUGUCAGGGGAACUCUUCCUGUGUCCCAUGGAUGAUCUUAGCAGGGUUCAUGCUCAUUGCCUGACUCAACAUCUGGAAACUGUAAUCCAACUGAAAACAGCCCAGGAAGGCUCUCCUAACAAGCCAGGAACAAGCAGAGCUCCCAGCUUUGAGAAAUCCUGGGCCAUGGCCCCAGAGAGAGAAUUUAAGUUAUUUUGGGGGAUGCUGGUGCUACAGAGCAUGAGUAGAGGACAACAGUGCACUUUCAGCAUUCAAUGACAAGCCACAAAGUGCCUCUGGCUUACAAGAAACACACCUCAGCUGAAGACAGGCUUCCCUGGUUGAGGCUGUCCCACAUUCCCAAGGCUCCUCUGCCUGCUGCCCCCACACCUCCAGGUAAAACCUGUGCAAUGCCUUUUCUCCCUGGCUGAAUCCAGGAGUCAACAGGAAGAAAGUGUGAGCCACAUCCAGAGUCAGAGGUUUGGAUGCACUUGGAGGGACUACAAAAUACAGGCACAAGAGCCAUGAAGGGAAAGCCAAGAGCUGAAGAGGUUUUUCUUCUGUCCCAUGAAAAAAUACACUCUCCCACAGACACCAAAGGGACACCCAUGGAAGGAUUUUGCAAAGAGCCAACAGCCCCUCUCUGUCUCUGCAGAAAAACACCUUACUUUGAAUCUCCUGGGAUCUGCCAUAUCAGCAUUGAAAUGUGUCAGAAGGUCUCUAAAACAAACAUACCUAGGAAUGGUUGUUUGCCCAGAAAAACAGGAGAAAAAGAAGUAAAAAGAAGGUGUGGGGGAACCAAACCUGCCCUGGAGGGGAAGGCACAUCCAUCCCCAGCCACUCACACCUGGGCUCUGCUCUCCCAGCAUGGCCCUGAGCCCUGGAAAACCUUCAGCUCACAUUCAAAGAGGACUUUUGGCCAGCAGUCGCCUUGGCAAGGGGCAGUGUUAUUCGGUGUUUGACAAGGGCCUUAAAAGUAAAACUGGAGCAAAGGAGGCCGAAUGGGAAAGCUGGGAAUCAGGUCACCAUGACUCUGGUCAGUUGGAAGUGCUCUGACACAGCAGAGCUGGGCUGUGGACAAUGGCCUUUGGCAUGCUCAUUCCUCCUGGGAGCUGAGCAUGGAUCCCUCCCAGGCAGCAGAGCUGCUUCCCAUUUCCACUGCCAGGGGCAGAGCCUCUUGUAAAUCUCUUCAUACAGCCUAAUUAACCUCUGAGAAUGGCUUAUAAAGAACAACAUGUUGUAAAAUCCAAACAUUUAGUUGUGCCAUAAGUGCCAAGAUGAUCUUUUAAAGCCCCUGCAGUAAAUAACACAUUUUGGGGUCUCUCUGACAUUGCAGCACAUGCUCAAAACUUAUCAGAAGGCAGGGAGUUACACUUCUCAGACUUUUUCUCUGCUGUCCUGGUUAUACACACACAUGUAUAUUUAUACUGCAAGCUGUACUUUGGCUCUGUGUACUCAAGAGAAAUACAAUGUAAAGCUUGUCUGCAUUGCUGCCUCCACUCCUAUUUAUAUUUUAAAGACCUGUUUUGACUCCUGGAUGAGAUGCAUUCUCCUAAAAGUGUAACAUUUCCAUCAAUGCCUAAAAAAUCAAGAGCAGGUACUUGCCAGACUGCCCUAGUUCAAGUGGGAAAGCAAGUCAGAGAGACUUUUUCCAGUACCCAGGUCUGUAGGUAUUACUGAGGGCACUGAUCAUCAAAGCCUUGCUCAACCACCAGCACCUCUGCUGCUGGGUGGAAGGUUGGUGUUUCCAGUGAUGCCUCUCCAUCCAAGGAGAGGGAUCCACAGGCUCCACAGCGGCUCAGACCUAUCCCUGCACCAGCCUCUGCUCUCCAAACUGCCCCCUCACUUCAGGUUCCUCUGUUUUUAAAUGUCAGGCCACGUUCUUCUGUUCUUCAGAAGGUGCUGAACACCUACAGCCAGGGGUUUCACUAGAAAAUUUUCCUCCUUUAAAAUAGCCAACCAGAACAUUUGAUUUACCCAUGCUCAUUUAUUCAUUGAAAGUAUUGAUGAGGCUACAUUUGUUAAUUCAGCCAGUUGAAUGUUGUGCCCUCCUCAUGUGACCAAACAAAUAAAGAGGGAAUAAACUCAGAGCAAACAUCUAUUCCAGGGAGCUCGUGUCUUUGUGAAAGGCUGUCAGAGGCUCAAAAAGAAAGGAAAAAUAUUAACAAUGCUGCCUGAUGCUGCUGAACCUUCUCCAACUGCACCAAAUAAUUUGCAAGGGGCAAGUCCACGGUGAAUCUCGUGAAGUUUUAAGACUGAUCUGGGGCCAGCUGGAGAAGGGGACACCCAGGAACGUGCACAGCCCACUCUGGGAGAGCGACGCCGCUCCUGCACCAGCAGCUGCCGGGAACAAAACGUUUUUGCAAUCGGCCAGCGGGAGUUAAAGAAGAAAGCAGCCUGGCAGUAAAUAUACUUAGCAAAUUCAAACAGUGAAAGAGUUCCAGGAAACUGAGAUAACCCUGCAGGCACAAAGAUCCUGAUCCAAAGCCCACGGAAGUUGGUGGAAAAGAAAAUCCUGUUAGCUUUUCGAUGAAGCACAAAGAAAGUGAAAUAAGAGGUCUGGUCCAAAUGAGUCUGUAAUUCUUCCCAAUGAAACAGCCACCCAAAUCUCACACACCUUCCCUGGCAGCUGCUCUCUUGCAGCUUGGCCCCCACAAUGGGAAUUUCUACUCAUGUAUGUACCGACACAUACAUUUUUUACUUACAGACUGCUCCUGCUCCCCUGGCAGCUCUCAGGUGUCUGCGACCUUGUCACCAAACUGAGAAGUUGGUGUUUCUCCUUGAGCUUCCUGUAGUUACAGGGGUAUUUAAAGAUUUCCAAAGGCAGGAAAAAAGCCCCUGAGCAGCCCCAAAAUCAGCACAUUUCCAUGUAACCCCAGAGUGCUAAAACCAGGGUGUGGGAUCCAUGGGUCAGUCAGUGGGGACCAGCAUCCCACAGCACAGAGGGGACACCUGAGGAGCAGCCAGAGAGAUGCCAGGUUGAAGAAGACACACUUUGCACAAGGGUGCAAAACGCUGGCUGAAGUAGGAUCCUUGUUUUGGCUGCUCAGCAGGCAGCGGACCUGGCUGAGCACUUUAUUUUAAAAUAAAAUGUGGGGGUUUUACUUUGCUCCUUUUAACUGCAAUUGCCUGGAAUAAAAAUUAGCAGUUACACAGUGCCUGCUCCAGAGACCACUGACAUCAACAGCAAAUUGUUCCUGCCUUCAGUGGGCUUUGAAUCAGAUCCUAAAAAUGCAGCCCAGCCCAUCCACAUCUGCAAUACCACAGGCAGAAAUGAGUUCAAGCAUCCUAGCAAUCCAGGGAGGCGGGGGGAAGAAACCCCCAAGGUGACAUCUAGGAAAGGAAAUGUGCCACAAGCCAGCAGCUGCCUUGGAGCUCUGAAGGGGGAUCAGGAGAAUGGGAGGGGAUUGCUUGGCUGGGCCAAGUUAGAAAGACAAUUGCCCUCUUAAUACCAGCAUUACCCAGCUCCAGCCUGGCCACUCAGUUUCUCCAUGCUGACAAGUUUUACUGUCCCUGGGCUGUCAGGGCAAUGCUAAGCAAUGGUUUUCCAACAGAAAGACCCUUGUCAAAGAAGAAAGUGUCUUCCUGAGAGCUAUAUGUUUGUAUGAGAAAAUACAGAUUUUUAAGCAUCUCCUUCCUCCUCUGGAUUUAUAGCAUUAAAAUUAAUCAGAGAAAAGAUAAGACUGCUGGGGUUUUAAUUACAGUCUUUAUCAAAGAACAGCUUUUAUGACACUGGAAAGGAAAUCAAGUUGAGACUUUGGAAUAC
This is a long non-coding RNA of Passer domesticus (house sparrow), 6179 nucleotides long. RefSeq lists it as uncharacterized. The transcript is spliced from 3 exons. The record is from RefSeq and is a predicted model, not a curated record. Lineage: Eukaryota; Metazoa; Chordata; Aves; Passeriformes; Passeridae.